CUGAUUAGCUAGUUGGUGAGGUAAUGGCUCACCAAGGCUACGAUCGGUAGCUGGUCUAAGAGGAUGAUCAGCCACACUGGUACUGGAACACGGACCAGACUCCUACGGGAGGCAGCAGUUAGGAAUUUUGCGCAAUGGGGGAAACCCUGACGCAGCAACGCCGCGUGAAGGAUGAAGGCCUUCGGGUUGUAAACUUCUUUCGACAGGGAAAAAACAAAUGAUGGUACCUGGAGAAGAAGCACCGGCUAACUACGUGCCAGCAGCCGCGGUAAUACGUAGGGUGCAAGCGUUACUCGGAUUUAUUGGGCGUAAAGCGCAUGUAGGUGGUUUUAUAAGUCUGAUGUGAAAGCCCUGGACUCAAUUCAGGAACUGCAUUGGAUACUGUAAGACUAGAGUAUGGGAGAGGUAGGCGGAAUUCUUGGUGUAGAGGUGAAAUUCGUAGAUAUCAAGAGGAACAACAGAAGCGAAGGCGGCUUACUGGACCAUAACUGACACUGAGAUGCGACAGUGUGGGGAGCAAACAGGAUUAGAUACCCUGGUAGUCCACACCGUAUACGAUGGAUACUAGAUGUCGGGAGUUCUUACCCUCUCGGUGUCGUAGCUAACGCGUUAAGUAUCCCGCCUGGGGAGUACGGUCGCAAGAUUAAAACUCACAGAAAUUGACGGGGGCCCGCACAAGCGGUGGAUUAUGUGGU
Molecule: ribosomal RNA, 695 nt
Filed under: uncultured bacterium
Lineage: Bacteria
Description: bacterial SSU rRNA
Rfam family: Bacterial small subunit ribosomal RNA
Source: RNAcentral